UACGUAGGGUGCAAGCGUUGUCCGGAAUUAUUGGGCGUAAAGAGCUCGUAGGCGGUCUGUCGCGUCGGCUGUGAAAACUCGGGGCUCAACUCCGAGCUUGCAGUCGAUACGGGCAGGCUAGAGUUCGGCAGGGGAGACUGGAAUUCCUGGUGGUAGCGGUGAAAUGCGCAGAGUAUCAGGAGGAACACCGGUGGCGAAGGCGGGUCUCUGGGCCGAAUGACUGACGCUGGAGGAGCGAAAGCGUGGGGAGCGAACAGG
Molecule: ribosomal RNA, 258 nt
Filed under: uncultured bacterium
Lineage: Bacteria
Description: partial 16S ribosomal RNA
Rfam family: Bacterial small subunit ribosomal RNA
Source: RNAcentral